RNAcentral lists this long non-coding RNA (42623 nucleotides) under Populus trichocarpa (black cottonwood). RNAcentral's name for it is "long non-coding RNA (PTRI_LNC004611)". Lineage: Eukaryota; Viridiplantae; Streptophyta; Magnoliopsida; Malpighiales; Salicaceae. The record is from RNAcentral.
CAUGAACCGCAUUACAAAAUAAUAUAACUUCACUGGUCCAUUAGGGUUGCUUCUAAACCUGAUAAAGGGAUGGAUUGCUCAACAGACUUCCGAGAGAGCUAGAGGUCGAGCCUGAGCAGAGGAUUUUUCACAUCAGGCUCAUCAUUUUCACACUCAACCCACCCAAGAGAACCCAAAACUAAAGGUCUAAACAAAACCUAACCUUAAGGCCCGUAAUUACAACUCAUACAGCUUAGGCAUACCCUCCGCCAUUUAUUUCUUCUUCCUCUUCCUCUUCUUCUUCUUCUUCUUCUUUUUGGGUCAAAAGGAGGGCAGUGCCCUAGGGAAUUAUUACAAUUUACAAAGGAACCAUCGUGGGGGUAGUAACCAUAGGAGCUUCCAUAAAAUACAUAUACAAGGAAUGAGCAUGGGUGGCCAACCAAUCAACACAACACACCCAAUUCUUGUCUGUGUUUUCUUUUUCCAAAUCACAGCUCUCUCCCCUCCCUCUUCUACUAGUAAGUCUGCCAAAUAUACAAGCUGCAAGCAAAUGCAACGAGGAGGACACCUAUAAUGGAGAAACCAAGGAUAUUGACUUGAGGUGGGGUAGAACAGAUAAUUUGGAAACUGGGGUUUGGCAUCAUCCAAAACAACAAAUGCUAUGGAAGCAUGAAAGCCUGAAGUGUGUUUAGGAGUAUGGAUAUGAAUUGAAUAUUAAAGUACGAAGGUUUAGAAACAGUAUUUGGAUUUGAAUUGAGCACGAAUCGCGAUGACCAGUAGUGUAUAUAUGAAAUUGAACAUAGAUAAAUCCUCAAGAGAUUCUGUAAUGAAGUUCUUCACUGGCGGAAAUUGGGGGGCAUUCAGAUCUAGCUCUGCUGCUGAUAUCAAGCCCCUGCAACUAUGUGAGAGGAUCCUGUAGCAACAUCUCUGGCAGGCAUGAGAAGGGGAAGCAGCAAUCUCUGGCUGAUGAGGUGACAAGUUAGACCGGAGAUGAUGAAACUGUGGGGUUUGAAUGUUUAAUGGUGAAAUAACGUGAAUUUUUUUUUAAAUUAAUAUUUUUUAUUUUUUUAUCGUUUUAAUAUGAUAAUAUAAAAAAUAAUUUAUUUAAAAAAAAAAUUCUGAUAACUUUAUAAAUAAAAAACAAAUUAAAAAAUAACUGUUAGCACACUCUCAAACAUCUUCUAAAUGAUGAACUUAGGUGAAAGCAUGUGAGAAUGGUUAUAUGGAAUAUGAUGCAUCCCCAAAUUAUAGCUAUCUGUUGGUGCCAUAAUUUCUCCAGUAGCAAACUUCAGUCUCUCUAUUUCCUUCUUCAAUGCUUCAUUCAGAGCUAUAUAUCAGAAUCAUACAACCAAAAACACAGUCAAGAAACUUCCUGUUCUAUAUCUCAAAUGAAAGAAAAUAACCAGAGAACAAUGAUACCCGACAAAAACAAAAGUGCAAGUGGGUUGACUUUACAUCUCAUUGCAUAUUGGUGGAUAUAGACCAUAAAAUCUAAGCUAGAAAGCACAUCUAGUAUGUUAGUGAUAUCUAAAGAGAAAACAUUACAGAUAGUGAAUCAAGUUGAUGUGCCUGCUAGAAACACCAUCAUAAUUGGUAAUGACAAGUUGAAUGACAUUCAUUAUUUGGGAAACAUAUGCUUUGGAGUUACAAGUAGCACCAUUUUUUGGAGGCAUGUGUCACACCAGAACAGCAUAACAGCCUCCACUGCAUAAAAUGCUAAAUUGUCUGCUAAGAACUUUCCAAGAAAGAUGCAUCCAACAAUAGAGAAGCGAUUAGCAAUUAAAGCAGAGCAAAGUAAAAGCAUACCGUCAUGUAAUUCAGCCUGUUGUUCCAUAGCUUGUAAUCGAAGCUUAAGCUCUGAGUUCUCAGUAGUCAGACUUGAUGUAUCCCUCUGAAAUGAGAACACAAGACCAAAAUUAAUGGCAGUUUAGAUACUUAGAAACUCUUAUUCAUAGCCUUCAAAGCAUACAAGAUUUGUGCAUCAUUGCCAAACCUGGAAUAGUGUAAGUUGGUAUGCACUUUUCUUUCAAGUUCGGAUACAUACGAUAUCGGGCUCUCUUUCAAGCGAGCAGCAGACUGCCUAUUGGCCAUAAUCCUAGAUAGUUUCAGAGGAAAUUUAUAGAAUUUAUACUUUUUUAUUCAUCUGCAUGUAAAUCAGAUUAAUCAAAAUCAAUUCCAUGAUUAAUAAAGAAUCACUCUUUAGAGUAUCAUGGACAGGCUACAUAAUAUACUUCAAAAAAUAGAUAAUUUGAGAUAAAUUAAUAAAAAUAAAAUACCAUGAAAAGCUUUCGAUAGUUUCCUAGCUCAUUGUUAUAAAGUCAAAGGGUUCAUAUUCAGAAAAAGAAGUAACCUAAGAAACGUUAAAAAAAAAAAAAAACCUGAGAUAUUAAGGUAGUAAAGCAUUAAAAGCCAAUUCAUCCCUGGAGUUCUUAUUCAAACUUUUGGAAGAGAUGUAUUUGGUCUUCAUUUAAAUGUAUGGCAUUGAUUUUUCAUCGCAUAGCAUUGAUGCAACAGAAACAAAUAACUUAAAAACAUGCUUAACCUUAGAGACGCGAGCUGAAAAAUGACAGAACAAAUCUGGCAAGCUUCAUUGGCUAAGUAGAAAGAUGGGAUUAUGCGAGAGGAAAGGACAGAACUGGACAUUAAGAUAUCAAUCAGAAAAACUCAUCCACUGUAGGCUUCCCGAGGACUUGAUAAUGUCAAAACCAACAUCCCUAUCAGUAAUAAGUUUCAGAAUCCAUUGACGAAAUACGUCUAGCAAUCACAGUACCUAAAUGCAUAGAGCGGGCAUGCACUGAAUUCUCAUAUACUUCCAAAACUACAUAAUCCAUCAAUUAGUAAGUUACAUCAACUAAACCUCAAUCCCAACCAAACCCACCUUGAUAUCAAGAGAUUUGAGCUCCUUCCAUACUGCUUCCCUUUAUGUUAGCGAUUUGGAAGUUUUUUAUAAAAAAAAGAAAAGAAAAAUUAAGCAGCUUCUUAAUUUUUGGUUGCAACAUUUUAUGCUCUCCACAUGAGCAUUGCUUUCUCUAGAAGAAAGGAAGAAAGUUAGCCAUAAACUACAAGCCCCCUGAUUCGACGAGAUAAGAUAAAAUUCGAGGGGGGGCGCAAAUAAACAGAAUUAUUUAAUGAUUGAUUCAAGGCAAAACAUGUACAUAAAGCAAAAGGAAAGUACCUUUUGGCUCGUUAGGAUCAAGAGCCCACAACUCAGCGAGUUUUUCAGGAGCCAUAGCCUUUUUUUGAGUCAAUAGAUUCCGUUAAAGAAGACCCAUCAACUGAAUAGCUAUACUUAUGCCUCAGCUUCACAUUUGUUGCUUUCUCAUCCACACAUUGAACCCCAUUGCCAGCAGCAGCAGCUGGCUCAUGACCCGCAUUGUCCUGUUUCAGACAAGAUCCAAGUUUGUCAAAGUCCAUAUAAGAGCAGAAGAAGUCAUCAGGAACCAGAUCCAAUUCAUCGGUGACCCGGAAUUGGACCUCUGAGUGGACCUGCCUGUGAAUAGAGGUUCGAAAUGGAAAUGCUGAAGCAUCUGAGUUGGAGAAAUCUUGCCUUCUUUUCUUCUUUUAACAAGGACGGACCAAUCUUCCCUUCUCUCUCUCACUUUUUAAUUUAGAAGAAGAAGAAAAGAGAGAAGAAGGAGAAGAAUUGUGGGUUGUCUUCUCCUUCUUGUUCGUGCUUGCUCUGUCACAUUGGCAUCGGGGGAGGAGUGCAGGUGGGUUUUUCAGCUUCUUAUGAGUUUUUGUCUUUGUCGAGAGGAUUUUGGUUACUGCGUUUUUGGGCAUUUUUGCCUUUGCGUUUAUAUACCAAACCAUGAGAUUGUUUUCAGAGCCUUAACAACCAAUAUGUAAAUCCUACGUUCAAAUUAAGGUUGCCCAUUCCGUUGGUGUUCUAUAUUUUUCAUUAAAAUGGUAUGUUUUGGUUUCUGAUCAUUUUUAGUUUGCCGUUCCAGAAUAUAUAUAUAUAUAUAUAUAUAUAUUAAUUCAAUAAAUAUAAUUUCAAUUUAAAUUUAAAAUUAAAUUAACUUGAAAUUAUAUUUUUAAAUUUCAAAUAUAAGUAAAAAUAUAAAAGUUGACUCGAUGUAAUCUGAUCAAUUUAAUUUGUCCAAAAACAACUUGGAUGACUAGUAAAAUAUAGUUUGACUAGAAAAAAACUUAAAAUAACAUUUUUUUUAAAAAAAAAUAUUAAGACGACAAUGUAUUAGAUCAAUCUAAAUCAUAAAACCAUAAAAUAACCUAAGUCUACUCAAGUUAACUCUCAAAAUUUGUUAUCUGGAUCAUGAGACUGAAAUAAUUUCAUGGAAAAUAAACCAAAAUAAAUGUCAAAGCAUAAUUCAUAAUCAAUCAAAUGCUGAAAAUGUUAAAUAAUAAAAUUGAAAAAAAAUCAAUUAAAAAAAAUAAAUAUAAAACUUAAGUCAAUUAGAUUAACUUGUCAAACUAAUGACAUGACUCAUGAGACUAAGAUAAUCAUAAAAAAAAAAAACAAACCAUAAUAAAUUAUGAAGUUCAAUCUCUAAUAAGCCAAGUGUUGAGAGAUGAAAUUAGAUAAAAAAACAUAGAUUUUUCCAUUCUGGUUUCGUUUUGCAAAAUUAAAAAAAAAAAGCAAAAAAAACACUAUUUGACCGGAACAGAACGAUACAACCAAAAUGGAACCGGAAAGUUCCAGCUGGAAUUUUCAAAACAGGCUGAGAUUUUAAACAAGAUGGAUUUUGUUCUAGUUUGUUCUAUUUUUUGAACUUGAACGAGAUAUACCAACCAUUCAAGGUGGAACAGAACGAAAUUGACAACCUUGAUUCAAAUGGCAAAAUCCCAAGUUCUAUUUAAAUUAUUCCAGAUCUCAAUUAGUGAAGAUUUUUUUUAUAAAUUAGCAUUGUGGUGGAUGGAAAAUAAAAAAUCAUCUAUUGUUUGGUAUAAUAAUAGUAAUUACAAGCACUAGAUAAUUGCUUGUGCUAUACUACGGGUUGGAUUAAAUUUUUUCUGGACAUAAAAAAUAUUCAGGUGUUGUUAAUAUGUUUUUUAGUAAAAAAAAAAAUUAAAACUAUAUAGGGAUUGACUUAAUGUGACCUAAUCGACUUGACAGGUUAAAAAACAACUCGAAUGACUGAGAAAAAUGUAGUUUAACUAAAAUAAAAUCAAGACGACAUCUUUUUUAAGUAUUGAAAUGACAAUAUAUUUGAUCGACUUGGAUCAACUCGAGUUAACCUAUCAAAUAUGUUACCCAGGUCAUGAUACCCUAAUAAACCUAUAGAAAGCAAAUUAAAAAAAAAAUUAUUAAACCGAAUUCUCUCCAUUAUUAAAUAAUGAAAUUGAAAACUAAGUGCAACUAAAAAAAUAAUCGAGUUAACUCAGGUUAACCUUCCAAACCUAGAUCAUGAGAUCAAGAUAAUCAUAUAAAAAGCACAUCGAAAAAAAUUAUAAAGCAUAAUUCACAAUCAACCCAAUAUUGAAAGAUGAAAUUAAAAAAAAGAGACACAAAAAAUCAUCAAAGUCAACAAAACAAACUUGUGAUCUGGAUCAUAAGAGUAAGAAAACCACAUAGAACACACAUUGAAAUAAAUUAUGAAGUCUAAUUAUCAAUCAACCUAAUAUUGAAGGAUGAUAUUGAAAAAAAAUCAACUAAAAAGAAAAAAAAAACUAAGUUGACUAAUUUAACCUGCGACCCAAGUUAUAACAUUGUGUUAACCCUCUAUAAAGCAAAUAAAAAAUAAAUUAUAAAACUCAAUUCUCAAUCAACCUAUUAAAUUGAAAAUAAAACCAAAUAAAAAAAGGACAAAAACAAUGACCCGAGUCAACCUAGGUAAACUAGUCAAACUCAGCUAAGAAGACUAAGAUAACUUAAAAGAAAGUAAAUCGAAAUAAAUUAUAAAGUCUAAUACCUAGUAAAUCUAAUUUUGAAGAAUAAAAUUAAAAAAAAAAACUAAAUUGAAAACUAAAAAAAUACAACUCUCACAACUUUUUAUUUUUAAGGACCAAAAUGUACAAUUUCCUAGCAUUUUAGUGUUCGCUGCUACAUUGAAAUGCCAAGGGGAUUUAUGUAGUAUAGUAGUAGAUAAUUGCUCAUGCUACGCUACAGGUCGAAUUAUAUUUUUUCUGGACAUAAAAAAAUAUCUAGGUGUCAUUAAUGUGUUUUUUAGUAGAAAAAAAUUAAAACUAUAUAGGUAUUGACUUGAUAUGACCUAGUCGACUUGAUAGGUCCAAAAAUAACCAGGAUGACCGAGAAAAAUGUAGUUUCAUUGAAAAAAAAUCAAGACGACUUAAAAAAAAAUAAAUUAAAACGACAACAUGUUAGAUCAACUUAAGUUAACUUGAAAAAUCCGCUACACAAAUCAUGAGACUUUGAUAACUCUAUAGAAAAUAAAUAAAAAAUAUUAUUCAACUCAAUUCUCAAUCAACCCAAUAUUGAAAGAUAAAAUCAAAUAAAAAAGGGCAAAACAAUAACCCGAGUCAACCUAUCAAACCUGGGUAAGGAGACUAGGAUAACUCCAUAAAAAACAAAUAAAAAAAAUCUAAAAUCCAAUUCUCAAACAACUCAAUGUUGAUGGAUGAAAUUAAAACAGAAUUCAAUUAAAAAAAGGAAAAAGAACUAAGUCAACCUAGCUAACUCGCAAAACUCGUAACGCUGAUCUUGAGACCAUAAUAACUCAAUAGAAAAUAAAUCAAGAAAUAAUCAUGAUCAUGAAGUUUAAUUUUCAAUUAACCUAAUGUUAAGAGAUGAAGUUGAAAAAAAAUAAAUUUUAAAAACAGGAAAAAGACAAGUCAAUACGGUUAACUAAUAAAACUCGUGAUUCAGGUUAUAAGACCAGGAUAACUCCAUAUAAAGUAAAUCGAAAUAAAUUAUAAAGUAGGUUGUAUAUAAAAAAAAUCUCAAUUUUUUUUUAAUUUCUGAGGUUCAAAUUAUAAAAUGUUUUAGGAUUUUAGUAUAUUUAUAAUAUAAUAAUAAUUAUAUGUUUUCGAAAGCUGUUCCAAGGUGUUGUCAUCAUCUAAAAAUAUAGGGAUCCAAAGAGAGGGAUUGGCUAUGACAAAUGAGCCAUGGAAUUUACUUCCCCUUUUAAUUAAAGGUAGAGUGGAUGAGUGGGAGAAAGAUUUGGUGCUCGAGAAUAAGCAUAAUCUUAAGCAACUAAGUGUGCUUAUGUGGGAUCAGGUACCAUAGUUUUGUUUUUUUUUUUUGGAAAAAAAAAAAUCUGCUUUCUUUUUCUUUCUCCCCAUGAUUCUAUAAUUUAGCCUUCUGUAUGUCGUUCUCCAAGUAAUAAUGAAGUGAAAAGAAACCUAAUGCUAUUAUCUUUCUUCCAUUAGGUAUCUUCUCUCCCACCUGUAGUCCAGUUUCCAUGGUCACAUCCGAAUAGUGGGCUCCCAAGCGCUUUAAUAGCUUCCGUAUAAUAAUCCUCACAAAAUAUUAAGCCAGCCCUGAUCUCUUUGUAUCCCCAAACAAAUCAAUUCUCUCACAGUUAAUUAGAAGCAGAAAAAAUCUCAUCUUUCCUGCUGCUGCUGCAGAGUACUAUCUACCCAAGUUAAGGUAAGCCAUGAUCAUAGUUCUCUUUAUCCAUGCUGUCAUCCUUGGAAUAACUUACAGGAGGAUUUGUGACUUUGGAAGCCAGAAGAUUAGCUUUAUAUUGGUGAAAUAGGACUCAAGAAAGCUGUUCAAUUUCCCUGAUUUUCUUGUUUAAAUUAUCAAGAAGAUGCUUUUUGUGAUGUCUUUUAUCUCGUUGGAAUCUUGACAGACAUUGCCAUAACUCAAAAGGCUCAUCUCUCUCUUUUUGGUUGAAAGCAGAUCAACAAGAACCAAAAAAAGAAACCGCAAACCCCAUAAUUUAUUGUUUAGCUUUCACCUCCUGUUCUUGAAGCAUCAGAAGCCAUGAACUAGCCUUUAAAUUCCUCUGUUACAACCUGCAAAGAAAUCCGGGACCAAACACAAUUGAAGGCCUUGUUCUAUAUACGAGUGAAAUGAACUCCCUACUUGCAGUCUCCUUUGUGGUUCGAUUUGAUGCUGCUAGGAAGCACUGGAGCCAUGAAAUCUCCAGCCUAUUUGCAUAAACUCAUAAAAGGUCUAAAGAAAUUGUAGUUCGGCUAAGAGGGUAUUGGUGUACUUCUGAGGUGUUGUUGGAUUGAGUCAUAAUAAUAGCUAUGUUUGCUGUUCAUCAUCGUCCACACCGGCUACUCCUGGAGACAGAAUCAAGCACACAAUCUGCAGCAAAUGGAAGCAGGACGCGCAACACAUACAACAGCGAGGCCAAUUUUGAUACCAACAUGGUGAUCAUCUUGGCAGCUUUGCUUUGUGCGUUAAUUUGUGCCCUUGGACUAAAUUCUAUAGUACGAUGCGCCAUACGCUGUAGCAGGAGGUUUACUUUCGAGACUCGUGAUCAGACUGCAGCACAUAUGGCAGCAACAGGCCUCAAAAAGAGCGCAUUGCGACGAAUCCCAGUGAUUAUAUACGGGGUGGCAGGGAUACAUUUAAUAGCUACAGAUUGUGCAAUUUGCCUAGGUGAGUUCAUAGGUGGUGAGAAAGUACGAGUUUUGCCCAAUUGUAACCAUGGAUUUCAUGUUAGGUGCAUUGACACAUGGUUGGUAUCACACUCCUCCUGUCCAACUUGCCGGCAGUCACUACUUGAGCAACCAGCAAGUUCUGAUGCCACAGAAAUUGAAGUUGGGAUUAGACAUCCGGGAAAUGAUGUUCCUAUUGCUGGAGAUCACGAAGCUGGUUGAUCCUGCUUUGAAAGUGAUUCAACGCCAAAUCAAGAACAAGCAAAAAAAGGGUCUUAGUUUCUCUAUUGUUUAAUUUUUGAGAUGUUCAGUUUGUUUGUGUAAUUAUGCUUAGUGAUGUAGAUAUCUUGUCUGAAACUUCAGUGAAUGAGCUAAAUGGAGGUUUCUGAGGCAAUACUUUUUUUGUACAGGCUUUAUUAGUAGAUAAGAAAAUGAUCCUAGGAGGUUUGCCACUCGCUAUGCGUUGAAAGGCCUUAUAAUAGUAAAUGCACCAAACUUUUUGUAAUCCAAUUUAACAAAUUUCUCUCCAAAGUGUCUCUGUUGAGCAUGCUGCAUGCAGUUCCUCCAAAAAGUUCAGAGCUCAGGUGGGCAUUUCCUAGCCACUAGAUAAUCUCGAAGGGGAUUGAUUUAUGCAACAGCACAAAUUGAUCUCUUGGAAUAUAAGAUUGGACAUGGAAAAGAACAUCUAGUUCAUCUGAACAAAUUAGAGGGAGCAGUACUCAGUCAAGAAAUGUGUAAUUUCUUCACACCUUUGAGGCAAGUGACUUGCUUUUAGUAUCCACGGUGAAUACAUGCCUUUCUACAGGAAUAUAAAUUAAAUUCGUUCCUUGUGAAGUUUAAAUGUUAAUCACAUUGGUUAUAGUUCGUUCUGAAUGCAUAACAAUUUAGAGUUAAUUUCUUCUCAAGCUAAUUAAGAUUUGACUCUAUGAUAGCAAUUAUGUUUGUAAAGUAGAUAUAUGGGUCUAAAUUUAAGAAGCUAAGGCUUUGAUGUUUAGGUCAUUUUGGUGGCAUGAUCAAAAGUCACUCAAGGAGUGUAAAGCAAUUAAGUGGCACACAAUAUACUAAGUUAAAUUAGGUCAAGAAGUUCUAAGAUCUACCACAAAACAAGUUUAAUUGGAGGACCGUUUGGAUGGGAAUGGAGGCCUGCUUGGUUUGCUAUAGGUAAAAUCCACGGCCUAACUUUGGUGUCAAGACAAUUUGGAUACUUAUAGUGUGUUCUGAUGACUUUUGAACGUACUCAGUUCUCUAGAAAUCUCAAGGAAACUACCUCUCUAGUAAUAAUAGAAAGAUUUAGGCAGGAUUAGAAGACAAAAUUCCUUAUAAGACAAGAAAUAGGUAGAAGAACCCUCAAAGUUAAUGACCAAUACUUGGAAUGGAGAAAUAAUAGGCCAGUCAGUGACUCAUUGGUAAGAGAGCACGGAGCUGUAACAUCUCUAGAAAGACAUGUCAUGGGGUCCCAGAGAAAGAGAAUAAAAAUGAUGAAGAGCCGAUGGAGAAGACAAAGCAGCUACAAGCUGAAUUGGAGCUUGAAAAAGGCAACAAAGGCUUUCAAAAAGUAGCAGUUGUAAGAGAACAAGCUGAAAAAGAAUUAAGGUUAAGAAAAAAGCUGGGAAAAUAGUUGAAGAGGAAGCUGAGUAAAAAAGAAAUGCCCAGUAACACAUAUGGUAAAAGGUGGUAGCUGAGAAGGAUGCAUGCAACAGCUGAAAAGGAAAAAAAGAUUAUAAAAAUAAGUUUGAGCAUUGGGAUGAGAUUGAACUGAGAGCCCAUUUGGAAUUGGAAGACAUAGUAAGGAGUCAAAAAAGCAAAAUAUUAAGUUUAUGUCAAAGAAUGAUCUUAAUUUAAUAGCUUAAACUGUUAGGUGAGGUUCAAAAAUAUAAUUUAUAUUAUUUUCUAACACAUUCCCUCAAGUGAAAGCCAUUUAGACUUGAAACUUGCACAGGUUCACAUUACCUUGUACUUAAUUUUUAUCAAAUAAAUGGGGAUGGUGAGAUUCGAACUCGUGACCGCUUGAUUAUCAAGGCUCUGAUACCAUGUCAAAGAACCAUCUCAACUCAAUAACUUAAGCCGUUAGGUGAGGUGUUAGGAUAUGAUUUAUAUUAUUUUUUAAUAAUUUAUAAAUACAUAAGCUAUAAUGGAAAGGCUUAACGAAAAGUAGCUAAAUUACACCUCUGCGUCAUGAAACUCCAGGUUAAGUUGGCUGCUAAAAUAUUUUUAUAAUUUAUUAUUUUAUAUAUUUUUAUAAUUUAUUAUAUUAAAUAUACCUAUUUUCUUUUCAGUUUCUUAUUAAAAGUCUUCAUAAUAAUAAUAAAAAAAUCAUUUAUAAUACCAGUGUCUAUUUCUCUGGACUUAAAAAUUGACUUAAAAUCGUACUCACCGGACGGACUACUGAAGCACCGGAAUGAUUUCUGUGUGCAAAAAAUUGAGGAGGCCAAGUUCCAAAGUCAAAAGUCUUUGCCUUUGCUCUUAUCUAGAAAGUCAUCGCUAGAUACUAUUCUGGCCUCCACCUUCCUCAAGCCCUCUGCUCUUCGUAUGACUAUUUCCCAUUCUUUAACACGUGAGCUUGGUUGCCCAUAGAAAACGAAAAAAGAAAGCCAUGAAUAGUUUUCCAAGCUAGCACUAUAUUUUAUAUAUAAAAAAAAAAAUUAAGGGUGUAUUUGUUUUUGUAUUUCAAAAAACUUUUUAAGUUGUUUUUCUUUGGAUUAAUAGUUUUUGCUGUUUUCAGAUCAUUUUGAUGUGCUGAUGUCAAAAAUAUUUUUUUUAAAAUAAUAAUAAAAAUAUUAUUUUAAUGUAUUUUUGAGUGAAAAACACUUUAAAAAACAACUACAAUCACGUUCAAAACGCCUCCUUACUUUAUAGUCCAACUUUUCCCUUUGGAUUUGAUGGCCAUUUGAACAUAUUUAUGGAACAAAAGGAAUCAUGAUUUUGUGCUCAAGGAAUGGAAUUUCAAACUCAUUUCAUUUCUUUUCUCUCCCCCUUUUAAUUUUUUCAACUUUUGUGGGUCUAGCAUGUUUCCACAAUCAUGAAUUUCAUUCAUGCACUACUGCAAGAUGUUAUUAUCCAAGUGCCUAAUGAGGAUAGCUGUAGGACGAUUAAGAGUUCAUGUUGAGCAUCAUUUCAUCCUUGGACCACUCCUUUUGCCUCUGAAUUCAUCCAUAUCCAUCCCCAGGGUGUUUUUUUCUUGAUUCGAAGGAUUGCGACGAAGAAUUCUUGUUCUUUAUCAGUUGCCGGAAAGAAUUAAAGUCAUGUUCUAUAGACCUUGUGAACAACAAGUCCACUAACACAAUACUUCCGCCACUAGUACUACGUUGUAUAAAGACACCACAUACGUACCAAUAUGUACAUGUGGUCAGGACAAAAUACUCUUUGAUCGGUUUGGAAAGGGAAUUCUUGUUUCAAUCCUUGUUCGUUUUGAAUCCUGCGAGAAGGCAGUGGACAUAGGAUUCCCUUCUUCGGUCGGUAAUGCUAGGAGAAUAAAAAGUUAAAUCAAGCUCAAAUAUUUGACCGCCGUCAUCCGCAAUUUAGUGGCCUUAAUCGUUAUAAUAAAGCCAUCAAGAAUCAGAAUUUGAAUAAUAUUUUUUAGGCUCGGCCCGAUCCAAGACCGGGUCAUCAGGUUUUGAAUGAGUCAUUGGAUCGUCUGGGUUAAUUUUUUUUUAAAAUCAAAACGAUAUCGUUUUAAUAAAAAAAUAAAAGUUAACAGAUUGCAACCGGGUUUUUGAUCUGGUCAACAGGGUCGUUAUGUCACACCGGUUUUUUUUUUUCUAUUUGUUUUUCAACCUGGCCUGAUUCCAGCUCCGAGUUGGCUGGUCCCGGAUCGACCCGUCAGGUCGAGCUGGAUUUCAAAAUUAUGAUUUGAAUACUUGACGUACAGUGGGAAGGCCAAAAUAUAAAAAUACUUUCUAUAUUUUCAAAUACUUUUACUUAUAAAUAUAUAAAAAUAAUAUUUUAAAUAUUAGUAUAUAAUCAUGAGUGACGUGAUGGAAAAAAAAAAUUUAAAAUUUUUUGAAAAAUAUUUUUAAAAUAUAAAAAUAAACACGUGAGUGCUAGAAACUUUGUAAUGACUAUAUAUGCCCUUUGAGAUAGAGUUUUAAGGUAUCCACUAAAUUUGUGGUGGGAUGUCUUUUAGACUUGUUAAUUUCGUACUUUUGAACAAGUAAAUUAUUUUCUAAAAUGGCGUUAGAACAAGCAUUACUUGAAUCUAAGAUUUUGUUUCUAUGAAUUCACGUAUACUUGAUUGUUAAUACUUGUUUUCACAGCCAGAUCAAACAAAAACAAAUAUAACAAUUAAUUACAAAUGUUACUCUUGCCUUCUGUUUCAACAACGAAAUUGGCUGCAGAAUCAUGUGAUUUUAUGUAUCAAAACUAGAUUUUUUUCCCUGCGAAUAUGAUGUCAAUUUUUCCCCNNNNNNNNNNNNNNNNNNNNNNNNNNNNNNNNNNNNNNNNNNNNNNNNNNNNNNNNNNNNNNNNNNNNNNNNNNNNNNNNNNNNNNNNNNNNNNNNNNNNNNNNNNNNNNNGAUAUGAGAUUAUGAUACCCUACAUAAAAAAAACAUAAAAUUAAGGUUUAUACCUAAUAUUAAAUGUUAAAAUUAAAAAUAAAUAAAAACAUUGAAGGAAAAAACUAGCGUCAACUCAAGUUCACUCUACUAAUGCGUCACCCUAUAAUAUGAGACUGAAAUAAAAGAAAUAAUAUUUUUUUGAAAGAGAACCUAGAAAAAAAAGAUCGAAAUUAACUAAAUAAAUAAAAACAUAAAAAAACCCAAGUCAACCUUAGUUAACUUGUCUGACCCGCAACAUGGGAUAUGAGAUUGGAAUACUCUCACACAAAGAAAAGAGAAAAAAAAUCACAAAGCUCAAGACCCAAUAAUCUAAUAUCAAAGGUUGAAAUUAGAAAUAAAAUAAAAUAAAAAUGUUGAAGAAAAAAACUUGAGUUAACUCAGGUUCACUCUACUAACCGGCCAGUCAUGAUGUGAGACUUGGAUAAAAAUAUUAGAAUUUUUAUAAAGGACCUGAAAAAAGGACCAAAGUUAAAUAAAUAAAAAAAACCAAGUGAACUCGAGUUAACUUGUCUAACCUGCGACCCGUGAUAACCCCACAGAAAGAAAAACGUAAAAAUUAGAAAGCUCAAGGGCCAGUAACCUAAAUUGAAAGAAAAUAACAAGGGACUACAUUACAAAAUAAAUUAAGAAAAGAUUAAAAAAUAAAAAUACAAAAAACGAGUAUCAAAAUUGAAUAAAAAAAUUGAAUGAAAUAAAAUAUUGAGGGACAAAAUUGAAAGGAUAAAAAAAAUAGCAUUUAAAAUAUUAAGGACUAUAUUUGAUAUAAAAAUAAAAUAAAACUAAAUGGUAAGGAAAGAAAUUGAAAACAAAAUCAAAAUAAAUUAAAAAAAUAAAGACUAAUAAAAAUAAUGAGGGCCACAAUUAAAAGAAGAAAUGAAUGGUAUGCCAACUUUAAUUUUUGGCUGACCCAGCAUGGAUUUCGUGGUGAGGUGAGAGAAAAGAAGGGGUGGAGAGAAACCCCACCGCAGCCAAAUCCCUAUGAAUUUCACAACAUGCGCUACCCCAUCAACUGCACCACCACUAGACACUUCAGACUGCACAAGAGUUGGACCUUUUGACCACUAUACGACACUACAUGCGCCCUUCAAGGGGUGUAGGCAAUGUCAACUUGUUAGCGCGUGUAACAACUUUUUAUUUAUUUAUUAAAAAAUUGAUUUGCAUAGAUUAUAACGAAAUAACCAUUAUGAAAAUGGGUAGGUUCUACAAGCAACAACACUCAUAAAAAUCAAUUAAUACUAUAUUCAUUUCCUUUGUCUCCCCCCACUCUUUCUCCCUUUAGCGGGAGGGGAAGGAAGUAGGGAUACUUAAAUGCAAUACCCCUUUAAUUAAUGUCACUGAUCUUUUCAGCUACCAUAGGAAUAAGUGUUAAAUUCUGCUCGACAAGUUGAUCUAAAAACUUGUAAUCUACCAUUUGAUUCAAGUUUUAAAUUAAACCAGUUCUUACAUUAAUCCAACCAGAUUAAUUUAUAACAUGGUUAACUUGACUGUAAAUGUCUGAUCCUUUUUGGUUUCUUUAAUUAUAAUACAUUGAAUCUGGAUCUUAGCCAUAAACAAUCUCACUUGCAAAUGAACAAAAACAUUCCGACAACAUGACACCUCGGUGCGGCUAUUGUUUUUUAGCCCGUUAGUUGAGCUCAUAGGCGAGGAUUUAUAAAAGGCUCAAAGUGAUACUCAAAUUUUUAUUGGCCCAAAAUGGGUAGAACAAGCAGCCUCACUCCUUGACAUAUUUGACAAAAGAUUCAAACACAAGAAAGCACAAACAUAGAUAAAAAACAACGCCCAUGAUCGCAGACCCAUUUUCAUUUAGCCAGCUCUGCCGAAAUGGUGUUAGCAAGGGAGGAUAUGGUUGUAGCUGAAACCCCUCUGGUUCCACCCAAGUACCAUUUCUUGAUCAUCUCCACAACAUUUGCGUUCUCCACCUUGAUUUUCGACUCUUCUUUCCCUUCCGUGGCAAAUCCAAUCUGUGAUGGAAAGACGUUAUCAUAGCCAGAAAUCAACGCCAUUUAGCAUGAAACAGUCGAUAGUUAACAAGCUAGUGCUCCAAUGCCCUCUAAAUUCUUACCUCAGCUGUAGGUGAAGUUGAUGGAAAGUAAAAUGUGAUUAUGGAGUUCUUCUUCAUGUACUUUGACUGGAAGAAUUCAACGAUUUUCUCCAGGGCNNNNNNNNNNNNNNNNNNNNNNNNNNNNNNNNNNNNNNNNNNNNNNNNNNNNNNNNNNNNNNNNNNNNNNNNNNNNNNNNNNNNNNNNNNNNNNNNNNNNNNNNNNNNNNNNNNNNNNNNNNNNNNNNNNNNNNNNNNNNNNNNNNNNNNNNNNNNNNNNNNNNNNNNNNNNNNNNNNNNNNNNNNNNNNNNNNNNNNNNNNNNNNNNNNNNNNNNNNNNNNNNNNNNNNNNNNNNNNNNNNNNNNNNNNNNNNNNNNNNNNNNNNNNNNNNNNNNNNNNNNNNNNNNNNNNNNNNNNNNNNNNNNNNNNNNNNNNNNNNNNNNNNNNNNNNNNNNNNNNNNNNNNNNNNNNNNNNNNNNNNNNNNNNNNNNNNNNNNNNNNNNNNNNNNNNNNNNNNNNNNNNNNNNNNNNNNNNNNNNNNNNNNNNNNNNNNNNNNNNNNNNNNNNNNNNNNNNNNNNNNNNNNNNNNNNNNNNNNNNNNNNNNNNNNNNNNNNNNNNNNNNNNNNNNNNNNNNNNNNNNNNNNNNNNNNNNNNNNNNNNNNNNNNNNNNNNNNNNNNNNNNNNNNNNNNNNNNNNNNNNNNNNNNNNNNNNNNNNNNNNNNNNNNNNNNNNNNNNNNNNNNNNNNNNNNNNNNNNNNNNNNNNNNNNNNNNNNNNNNNNNNNNNNNNNNNNNNNNNNNNNNNNNNNNNNNNNNNNNNNNNNNNNNNNNNNNNNNNNNNNNNNNNNNNNNNNNNNNNNNNNNNNNNNNNNNNNNNNNNNNNNNNNNNNNNNNNNNNNNNNNNNNNNNNNNNNNNNNNNNNNNNNNNNNNNNNNNNNNNNNNNNNNNNNNNNNNNNNNNNNNNNNNNNNNNNNNNNNNNNNNNNNNNNNNNNNNNNNNNNNNNNNNNNNNNNNNNNNNNNNNNNNNNNNNNNNNNNNNNNNNNNNNNNNNNNNNNNNNNNNNNNNNNNNNNNNNNNNNNNNNNNNNNNNNNNNNNNNNNNNNNNNNNNNNNNNNNNNNNNNNNNNNNNNNNNNNNNNNNNNNNNNNNNNNNNNNNNNNNNNNNNNNNNNNNNNNNNNNNNNNNNNNNNNNNNNNNNNNNNNNNNNNNNNNNNNNNNNNNNNNNNNNNNNNNNNNNNNNNNNNNNNNNNNNNNNNNNNNNNNNNNNNNNNNNNNNNNNNNNNNNNNNNNNNNNNNNNNNNNNNNNNNNNNNNNNNNNNNNNNNNNNNNNNNNNNNNNNNNNNNNNNNNNNNNNNNNNNNNNNNNNNNNNNNNNNNNNNNNNNNNNNNNNNNNNNNNNNNNNNNNNNNNAUCUCGUCAACGUUAACCAUUUCCGUGCCCACUGCAACAUUUUCCACACAAAAAAAACCAUUAAAUCUUCUAAAAGGGUUAUCGGAAUUCACCUUCGGAAAGCAAAUAAUCAAUCAUUUCUUAAGACCAACACAAAUCUUUACACUUAAAUCAUUUCUUUCUACCCAGGAGCAGUGCGUGAACCCCAUGAUCAUGGGUCAAGAUGGAAGAAUAUCCUACAAACAAGAUACACAGAUAGAACGAACUUACUGAUCGCUAGCUCUGCGUAGCACGUAGGAGGACUUGCUGAGAGAGAGGAAUGCAAGGAGAGCUGUGAAGGAGAAGUGUUGGAGCAAACAAUUUUUAAGCCUCUUAUUAAAUAUUUUGAGCUACCGCUCUCAAUGUCCUAGUUUAAGGUGGUAGGUACGUUGGGGCAUGGAGGUUUGGAAUCUCGUGAUCCAUCUCCCCUUCUAACGCAGUCCUCCACUUUUGGCCUAAUUCUUCUCUUACAAUUGGUCACUCUAUUAUUUCCAUUUAGUCAAUCUGAACCCUUUACAAUAUGUGAGCUUAAGUUGAUGCUUUUUAAACAGAAUUCUAUUAUAUUAUUAGAUAAUAUUUUUCUAGAAAAAUUGUAUUAUGUUAUUAUUUAUGAAGAAAAUUAGUUUUGAUUUAUAAGUCAUAUUUAAUUUUCUAUUAUAAUAUUUCUAAUUAACACUUUUUUAUCAUAAAAAAUAUUAUUGUUUGCCUAAAUUGAUUUUAGAACUAUCUUGUGUUUCUUAAUGAUUUUUAAUUUUUUUUUUAACGUGGGUGUUUGGACUAACUUGCGCGUACCUCGACUAAUCCCACGGGUCCUGAAGUUAACGACCAUAUAAGCCUCUAGUGGCCUUGAGGGGACUCGAACUCAUGAUCAUUAGAGAGAAAACUAAAGAGCUGGAGUUACCCAUCAAAAUUAAUGAUUUUUAAUCUUAUCCAUACAUGUGGAUCCUUUAUUUGAAGCAAUUAAUAAUAAUAGUUGACUUUCACAAAAAUCUCUUAGAAAAGAAUUCAAUUUGGGCUAAAAUAAUAUCGAAGGUUUAAUUUUAGCAUAUCUCGAAAGAGAGGGACCGAUAGUGAUUUUUAGCCUCAUAAUUUAAUGCUUUACCUACCAACCCUCCCUAGCUAAUUUGUUUGUUGUCAUGCCAAGAUUGCACGUUGCACAUUACCUUCUCCUUUCUUUUCAAAGAAUAUUCAAGUUAAAUGUCUUCAAACAAGCUACUCUUUUGAAACCAUAAAUUAGGUCUUUAAUUUUAUUUUUUCAAAUAAGUUUAUGUCUUAUUAUAAAAUCCUAACAAAUAUAAUUUACAUUUUUAAUUAGAAAAAACAUUACAGCAAGUUUUUUAUAAUUCAACUUUUUCCACUUUUAUAUGUUUAUUAUUGGGAUUUUUUUUUCCUAAGUUUCCUUUUAGGAUUUUCUAAAUAAUUUAAAAUUUCAUUAUUUUUGUUAAUUGCUAUAAUUAUUAGAAAAGCUUUAGACCACCUUAUCAUGCUAACUAUCACCGAACCUUUUAUUUUCAAAAAUAUGAUUUUAUCAAUAUGAAAAAUGUUAUUAGGAAUAAAAAGAAAAUCAUUUAUUUAUCUACUUUAACGAGAUGAGAUCUUAACAAAUAGCAGAAGGAGAAAUGGGAUGUUGGUUUGUGUCAUGCUUGCAAGCACCUUAUUCUAAUUCUAAUGUGAAUGAGGAAGAAGGAAAUAUAUAUAGAAAAAGAAAUACUUGUAUGCUUGUAUCUUUUGUUGGUACACUACUAGAAAAUCGGCGAAAAUCAACGGAUUUAUCGACAUAAAUUUUUUAUCAGUAAUUUUUACCGAUGGAUAUAAUUUCAUCUCUAGUUUCGUCAGUCUAUACCGACAAACCUUUGCUGUCGGUAAUAAUUACCAAUGACAUAGAUUCUGUCGGUCAUACAAUCGGUAUAUACCGACGGAAUAAUUAGAUUAAAUUGGAGAAUAAAAUAAUAAUAAAAAAACGAGUUUAAUUCCAUCCUUUUUUUUAAGGUGAUGGUUCGCAUUCAAAUCUUGAAUACAAACAUGUUGUUAGACUUCAAACAGGGUAGAGAGAAGGUAAUUAAAAGCUUCUUAUUAGGCUUUGAACUGGUUAUGGAGAGCUAAAUCACAUAAAAAAGUCCUGAUUAAAUAAUAAAACUUAAUCUCUAAUUAAAUAAAUGUUGAAGAAUGAAACUAUAAAAACACGAGCUUAAAAAAAGGAGAAACCAACAAACCUGGAUGAAUCUUCUAAAUCAAGGUUAAUCACCCUCGCAAUCACGUGACAUACUAACUCGAGCUCAAUCAAAAAGCUCAACUCCCAACCAAUUUAAUAUUGAAUAAUAAAAUAAAAAAAAAUAUUAAAGUAAAAAAUAACAAUAAAAAAACGGGGAUAAAAUUUAAUAGAAAAAACUAAUGGAGGAUGAAAUUAUUAAAAGAAAUCAUUUUUAAUAAUUAUCUUAAAUAAAACAAAUACCAAUAAGAAAAUGUGGACCAAAUAUGGAGGAUGAGAUUGAAAAAAAAAAUCUAAUUUUAUAAAUUAUUUCAAAUAAAACAAAUAGUAAUCAAAAGAAAUUAAACCAAAAUUAAAGAAAAAAUGUAUUGAAUGGUUGCCUUAAAAGUUUGGUGUUAGUUGCAAAAAUCAAGGAAAAAAAGGAAAAGAAGGAAAAAAAAAAAUCGUUGGUGCGAAGCUAGAGGGUAGUAAGCCAUACGUACUAUCUAGGGAUGGAGGGGUCAUCAAGACUAUUUGAACACUACCCCGAAAGAUAUCAUUUGGACACAGAAUGACCCUUUCACAUGCCAAUAGAAUAGCGGAAAUAACAUAUACACUAGCGCGUGCAAAGCACAAGGUCACUAUUUUUUAAAAUAAUAUUUUAUAAUUAUAAAAAUAUAAAAUUCCCUCCAAUCAACUUAAUAAUAACUAAAAACUAAAUUGAAAAUACAAAAAUGUCACUAAAAGCAAAUUAAAGAAAAUUUUAAUUUAAGGGUAAUUUAGUAAUUUUAUUGUAUUUUGAAAAAAUAAAAAUAUAAAAAGGCCCCUAGAUACUAGUUAAAAAAAUAUUUCUUUUAAAUGUAAUUUUGUUAUUGUAAUAUGUUUUAAAAAUUAAAAAAAAAAAGUUAAUAGAUAAUGAAAAAGAACCGUAUUACCUCAAGGCCAAUAUUUUUUUAUUAAGAAUAUCAAAAUAGUUAUUAUAAUAUUUUAAUAUAUAGUGCAUUGAGUUAGGUGUGCAUUAAAUCCUAAUUCCUUUUAGUUUUUUUUUUAUUAUUAUUAUUAAUAAAAGGGAUAUAUAUCUAACCACGUGGGAUGCUAAUAGUCAUGAUAAUGCGUGUAGUCUGUUUGUACACAAAACACACCGUAGCCCUAGAGAUGGACUCAAAGAACCAUGACCAUUAGCAGUCCACGUGGUGAAGUUGGGUCCAAUCUUGUAUGCCUACGACUCAUCUCAUAAAUGAGUCCAAUCAAUUCAUAUAUACACCUACCCGCCAACUACCAUGGCAAGAGUAAAACAUAAAAACAUUUUGUAUCGUGGGGGAGGGUGGUAGUUGUUUUUAAAAUAUUUUUUAUUUAUAAAUAUAUUAAAAUAAUAUAUUUUUUUAUUUUAAAAAAAUUAUAAUUGAUAUUAGAAUAUUAAAACGAUUUAAAAAUAUAAAAAUAUUAAUUUUAAAUAAAAAAAUCAAAUUCAUAAUAUAAAAUGGUAUAAAAAAAUUCCCACAUUAGCAGAAAAUAACUAUUGAAAGUUUACUCUAAUACCAACCAAAUUCACUUGCUCCUACACAUGUUCUUGUUUUUUAUUGUGUAAAUAUUAUAUUUAGUAGAUAAACAAUUAAAUUGACAAUAUCUUAUAUUUUCAUGCUAAGAAAAGAAAGGAAAAGAAGUCUUAAGUAGUAGAUUUCUAAUCCUUCUAUCCUUCUCAUUAAAACAUCAUUAACGUUUCCAUGAAAAACAAUUCCUUGUAUUUUUAUAUUUUAUAUUUAAAAUAUCUCUCUAUUAGUUUUUAUUUUAAUAUCAAUAUUGUAGUUAUAUUUUGUUAUCGAUACAUCCAUGUAUUAAUUGUUGAGAUUAACAUCACUAAAUCUGAAUUAGUUAGGUAGAUAUUUUUCAUUUAAUUCUUUCAACGAGGAGAAAUUAAAUACGAAAAUUAAAUUUUGAGUGGAAAUAAAUAACAAUUUUGUAAAAUCAAAUAGAGUGCAGAGAUGUUAGACCUUGAAUUUUAAAAAGGUUAUUUGUUUUAUUCACCAUCAUGUAUGGAAGAAAACAAGUAUUGAAAGAAAAAGAAAGGGGAAUUGCAGGAAAAGAAAUAUAAAGGGUACUUUGAAAAUUAAUGAGAGCAACAAAGAAAGUAGUAAACACUGAAACAAAAAAUAAAUUAAAUUGAAAUUGCAUAUAUAGAGCUGAUUAUUUUUGCAAUAGUUGUAUGACUCUAUUUAUAUUGUUAUAAGUUAUUAGAGUCCAAUGUAAUCUCUUAAAUCCAAUCCUCUACAAACUAUUCAUAGUAGAUAAAGUGCUUACAUGAUGAAUCUUGAUACAACUUAUACUCUAACUAACUAAAACGUAACUUUGUCCCUUAUAAACACAUGAAUCCUAACUUGUCGAGUAAAACUAACUAACUAUGCAUAUUGAGGAUUCUUGUUUUACGUAGGCCUGAAUAUUCUAGUCAAUCACAUGAACCUUUUCUUCAUGGUCAAUCGCUUCAUCCUUGUUGAUUACAUGAACUCUUUUCUUGCGGUCAAUCAUUUUUUUUUGUUUCUUAAACUUCCUUAAGCCUGGUUAACUUUAUUAUUAACAAUCGAUUUUAGCCCUUUUUUUCUUUAUUUUAUCAUGAACAAUCAUUUUUCUUUUGUGAUUGACAUGAGAAUAUUUAUUUUUGGUGUAUACAAUGCCUCCUAUAUUCCUUUAUUUUUUAAAUGAAGAGAUAUUCACCUUGUCAUAUUUGAUAGAUCAAAUCAAUUAAAUAUGAUGUGGCAAGUUACAUCAUUCACCUAAAACCAUCGAUCAUGUUUUUAAAACAUGUUUGCCAUGUCAAUAGCUCCAAAUAAUUAGUUUAGUUUUAGAAUAUCAUGUGCUCUGAUUUUAUUAGUGAUGCCUAGGACCUAUAAAUUGCACUUGAUCCUUUAUUUUCAUAAAAAAAAAUCCCUAAUUUCUCUUUUAAGCUUAAAGACUUCUUUGUUAAAAACCAAUCAAGAACCCUAAACAUCAUUCUUCUCUUAAAAAAUGGCAGCCUCAAGCUUUGUUCCAACCAAGUCUACACUCAUAACUCUUUAUCAAAAUUACAUGGAUUACUUGCCUUAUAUUAAUCGGUCCAUAAUUAGUGUUACAAAGAAUGCACAAGGGGAAUUCCAUGGUUCAUUAUUUAAAAAGGUACCCAAGAAAAAAGAUGAUAAUCACUUCGCUCUAGAUAUUAAAAGUGAAAAACUUACCCUUUAAGAUGACUACAUUAAACUAAAAAUCUGGAAUAAAUCCAUUCCACUGUGGCCGAGUAUUGCUCCUAUUGAUCACAUCAGAUGGGUGGAAAGACUACAACACCUUUUUUGCAAUCAAUAGAGGCAUCAAAUGUUUAUGAAGUCAUGGGACUUUUUAAUGUGAUUUAGCUCUCCAUAACCACUUCAAAGCCUAAUAAGAAGCUUUUAAUUACCUUCUCUCUACCUGUUUGAAGUCUAACAACAUAUUUGUAUUCAAGAUUUGAAUGUGAACCAUCACCUUACAUGAUUUGGCCAUAAUAACUGGCAUUUACAUGGUUUAUAAGGAGUUUUGUGCUUCCAUCAAGACUGAUUCCUGCUAUUUAAAAACUUGGUGUUGGACAAACCUGAAUGUAGCUUUUCCAUGAAAAGAAAGGGAUAAAUAACUGAUCUUUCUACUUUUAAAGAACAUAUGGCUUUUAUACUACAUUAGGCAUGCAACCUCAUAUGUUCUAAAACCAGAAGCCUACCAAAUCAUAUCUAAAAAUAACAAUAAUUUUAGUACAAGUUAGGAAUAUAGUCUUAGGUUUUUUUUAAUUGAGUUAUAUCUAUAAUACAUUAGAAAAGUGUCAAACUAAAUAUGAGGAAGAACCAUUUUAUAAUGAAAGGAAGAAUUUAUAAAAGUACCAUAGUGGGUCAGGCAUAAUCAACUUCCUACUUUCUAGGCUUCAAUAAUGUAAGGAUGAUCAUUGACCCUAACUCCACCUUUUAAGAAAGCGACCUCCUAUAACAUUCCUUUCAAGACUUGUCUUUUGAAGAAUGUGUACAAACUUUCCUCGGUCUAAAAAAUAAGAAUGAUAUAGCAGUAUUGCCUUUGAAAUCAACGAGGUCAAAACCUCAAUGAAUACUGCUUUCAUAAUAUCAAAGAACAAAGGUUGAAAGGGAAAAAAACAUUGCAUUUUAGAUAAGCAUCCUGACCUAUAAAAAUCUAGACUUUGAGUUGGUGAUUGAUCACAUUUCAAAGAUAAUUACUAUUCUUAUGAAUCUUACAACACUCAAUUGGUAUCUAUAUAACUAUUAUUCCUUUAUUUUAUUCAAUUCCUCAUGCUUUAUGCUAUAAAUAAAACUAGUCCAGAUAGAAUAACCUCCAUCAACUUAAAAGAAGUGACAUAAGUUUCUAGAAAAAAAAGGAGCAUUACAUUAGAAAUCUUUAAGUGGAAGACUUCUCAUUGAACUUGGGCCACCAAUCAAGGUUUAUCACUUUGUAUAAACAUAACUAUAGACUUUAUCUAUAAUGCUUCCUUAGAAGAAAUGACAAUAAAGUUAUUUUUUUUAUGAAAAACAACCAAGGAAAAGAAAAUAAAGAUAUUUAAAAGCCCUAUCAUAAGAUUAGUAAAAGACAUGUACAUAAAAUUUUAUGUAAGAACCUAUAUCCUUAAUUGUGUGAUAAUGAUCCUUUAUUUGGUCCCAUGUUCUUACAACAACUUUUUAUGCAACUUCAAAAUCUAUGAUUAAUCUUUAACCUUAACUAAUAGUUGAUCCUAUUAAACCCUAACCUAUUUCAAAAUUUUAUAAAAAAGAAGACAAGAAUCCCAUUAUUAAGUGAAAGACCAAGCUUAGAAGUAAUUUUUUUCAAUCAAAGUUAUUUAAAUUUAAUACAUUUGCUCUAAAUUUUAUCUUAACAUGUUUCCUUAUGUAUUGUCGAAGCCAAUUACUCCCAUUACACCUUUUUUUUAUAGUUCUUACUAUAAAAAUGUUAAUGGAGGUCUGUUAUGUUAUCAUCCUCAGUUGAGUGCUUUUUCUUUAAAAGAGAUGUCACACCCUACUAUUGUUAUGAUUUAUAAAGCUAUAAUUAUUGAAGCUAUUAAAUCACAACCUUUUACUAUUAAUGGUCAUCAUGAAGAGAUUGACCAUGUUCUGUUAUGGCAUUAUCAUCCUCUAGUAGUGCUGAGAAGAAUUCUUCAUCACUAACUACGCUGAUGUUGAUCUUGAAAGAACCCAGCUAAAUUUUGAAGUGUUGCUAGUGUCUAGUUUAAAUCAGGGUUACCUUGAUAGGGUAUCGAAAAAAAAACCCUAUUCUUCCAAGUUUUUAUAAUUUAUUCCCUUAGUAAUGUAUGUAGCCUUUAAGAGUUCCUUCCCUGUGUGUUGAAGGUAUGUUCAAGAUACUUGAGACUAUGCUUGCAAAGGCAAGGGCAUUACUAAAAUAUAUCCUUUUUAUGGGUGAGAAAAAAAACUGAAAAACCGAUUGAACCGAGAAAACCAGAAAAAAAAUAACUGAAAAAACUGAAUCAUGAAAAAAAACCGCUUAGAAUUUUAAAAAAACCGAACCGAACCCAAACAAAAAAAACCGGAAAAAAACGAGCCAAACCGGUUUUUGUUCUAAAAAAAUCGAACCGAACCGAACCGAACCGAAACCGGUCGGUUUGAACCGGUUUCAGUUUUUUUUAAAAAAAAUGAAAUUUCAGUUUGGUUACUCUUUUUUGAUAAAAACCGAACCGAACCGAAAAUUAUUACCCCUAAUCAUUUCCAUGCUAGAAGAGAGUAAUAUCAAUGAAAAAGAUACUAACACAGUUGCUAUUUAUAGAGGGGAAUGGUGGCCUUGUCUUUUUACCUUCAUAGUAUGAAGGAGAUACUAAAGAAAAUUGAGUGGAGAAUAUACUAGUAAUUAAUUGUCUUCUUGUUAAUCCGGUAAUUAUAAUUAUUAAAGAGCUGAAAUCCCUUAUUCCUUCCUCUAUAAUUUUAGAAAAUUAAGAGAUUAAUAACUAUAUGCCUCAUAUUACUACAAAAUAUAUAGUAGUACCAAGGCAACCAACCAUAAAGAAUCCUCCAUUAAGCAAACAUGUAAUUUUUUUCUAUAACUUUAAAUAUUCUAGCAGAGAUUUCUUUUUUUCUUUUUGUGACUAAUAAGCUUCGAAAGACCUCCUCUCUUAAGUGUUCUCCUGUCCACCAAUAUAUUUUUUUUCUAAAUUGGAGCUUAAUGGGACACUAUAAAAAAAAAAAUUGUUGGCCAAUGUCAAGAAAUAUUAUUUUAUAUAAAGAAUUAUUUAUAAGAAAAAAAUAGAGAAUAGGGAUGAAAGAAAUCUUUUUGAAAAUUCAAAGGUCCAAGAAUGAAUAUUAACAAAAGUAUUUCAUGCUCUGAACUCAUGAUAAGUGUCAAAAUAUUACGAGCUAAAAAUAAUAAUUAAAUGUAUUAGCACCUCCAACUAAUAAAACGAUAUAAUGAUGAAAUAGAUAUAGAUAUAGAAUUAAUAUUAAUAUAAAAAAUAAGAAAAAUACUAUUGAUCAUUUAUAACUUCUUAUAUGUUACGUGUGUGUGCUUUUUCUUUUUUCUUUUUUGUUAGAGUAAUUCUUGAGUUUAAAAAAAUUUAAACAUAAGAAAGUUAAAUAUUAUUGCACCCCGUCCUUACACACACGUCACUUUAAAAAUAAUAAUAAUAAAAAAGAAUCAAUAUGAUCAAUAAUACAGGCACUGUUUUUAAAAUUUAGAUAAAACACCAACAUUUUUUAUAUUUUUUAAUUUGUUAAAAUAAUUAAUAAAGAAAUUUGUUGUUUUAAUUAGAAAAUAGAGAAAAAUACUUUUAGCAUCAUAUGAUAUAAAGUUUUUAACAGUUUCAAACAUUGGGAUCUGAAGUGCAUUUUGCUUUCAUGCAAUAUACAUAUGCUUUUAAAAUUUUGAUAAGUGUAGCUUAAUUGAUCAGAUUCUAACUUUGUUUUUUUAAAAAUCACUAGUUCGAGUGUUAUAAAUCUCAGGAUUAUUGAAGGUUUAUAUAAUCAUUAAUUUUAAAACCUUAAAAGAUUAAUUAAGAUACGCAUAAAUUGAACCGGACAUCUACCAUUGAAAAAUAAUGUUUUCAAAAGCAAACAAAUUUCAAAUUAAUCAAAGAUCCUUUCAGACGCCAUUUUCCUGUACUUUCUAUGCUAUUCAAUUGUGUGUCCAAGGAAUUAAUGUAUGAACAUAUGCCGGAAAAAGACUUGGAGCCCAAUGAGACGCAUAGCCUGUUACUCAACAAACAAAGUAUUUUUUUAGUUAAAAAUAUAUUAAAAUAAAUUUUUUAUUUUUAAAAUUAACACAUUAAAAUAAUUUUAAAUUAAAAAAUAUAAUUUUAAAUUAAAAAAAUUAAAUUUUUAUAAAACGUCGUUGUCGAAAGAACACAAAAGUUAAUGGAUUAACAAUUAAAAAUCCUAAAAUUAAUUUUUACCUAGUGAAAUCAAUGGCAUUUUUUGUGUUGAAUAUUUUAACAUGCCUGAUUCUGAAAGGCUCUAUACGUGCACGGGGAUUAACUCCAUAUCCUCUGGUUCUGAAAUAUGUUAUGAAUUAAUAAUUUUUUCAAGCAUUAUAUUUUUUUUCUCUUUAAUAUUUGUAUAUCCAGGGGAUACACUUUGUCCGUAAUUUUUUACUGUUAAUGAAGUAGUAAUGUAGUAUUAUUAAAUUUCAUGAGCUAGAACUAACCCAAGAUAUAGUCAAUUCAGGAUUUGAUACUGUUUGAGUUUUAAAAAAAUUAAAUAAAAAUUAAUUUGAUUAAACUUAGCCAAUCAAAACUUAUUUUGAUUUUAUUUAUUUUUAAAUAAUAUUGUUUAUUUUUUUUAGAAUAACAAUAUUAUUUUAAAUUAAUUAAGAUUAAUCUAUCAAACUCUCGUGAGUCAUGACUCCAAUAGCAAAUCAUGAAUUGGCGGAAUUUAAUAACUUUGUGUAAAUUCGCAAUACUUAUAUUAUACUGCAGCAAUUGGAAUUUAUCAAUUCAUGCUUUUAGUCAAGGUCUUGCAAUUUUGAAUGCUAUGGACCUACAUGUCACUUCACUGAGCCGUCGUACUUCUGCGGUGAAAAUCACACAUUCACAUAGAUCAAUUUUAUUAGUCCCUCCAAAGGCCUUGAAUUUUUGUGUACAUAAGCUAAUAUGUGCCCUAAGAUUAUGGGUGAGCAAAAAAACCGAAAAACCAAUUAAACCGAGAAAACUAGAAAAAAAAUAAUUAAAAAAACCAAACUGGAAAAAAAAACCGAUUAGAAAAAUAAAAAAACAAGCCGGUUCGGUUCGGUUCAGUUUUGGUUUUAAAAGGCUAAAACCGAAUAAACCAAACCGAACCGGUUCAAAUAAAAAAAUCAAUAGUACUAUAAAUACCUACUUUUCAGCUUUCCUCAUCUCCUUUCUAAACCCUAGCCGCCACCCAUGUUUCACAAUCUUCAUCUCUCAGCCCCCACCCCCAUCUUCACUCUCAACCUUUCUCACCCAUGUUUCUCAAUCUUCAUCUCUCAGCACAGCCGCCCCCCCUCCCAUCUUCAUCUCUCAACCUUUCUCACAACCCCGCCCCCGUCAACAUGUUCAUCUAUCAUCUCUCUCAACCUUUCGUUAAGGCUUUAAGCCCAACCCCCCUUCUCCCCCAAAGUAGAUCUGGUGAACGAACCAUCAUUAUCUCUCAUCUCUCAAUCUUUUUAUCCUUUUCUUUAAGCAUAGUCGACUAAGCUCAUGGAUUAACAACCAAACAGCAGCUCUGGAGCCCCCCUCUCUUCAAUCUUUAUCUUUUAAUUUUUGUCCCUAUUUACUUUUUUUUAUUUCUGUAGAUCUAUUAUGUAUUUAUUUUCUAUAUUUAUUUACAAGGUUGUUGAUUUGUCAUAGUAUGCUCAUGUCGCGAUUACUGUAAUGGAUGUUGUGAGAAUUAUUUUUUUUUAAUUUUCGUAUGACUCUUGUUCUUUCUGGCUUCUUGAUUUUCAAUUUCAGAAAACCUGCUCGAUAUGCUUGGCCAAGAUGAAAUCGGUUUUGUCCGGUUUUUCCUUUCAAUUAACCAAACCGAACCGAACCGAAACUGUUCGGUUUGAACCGAUUUCGGUUCGGUUUCGGUUUUGAUUUAAAAAUGAAUAAAUAAAUUGGUUUGGUUAGUUUUUUGGGUGAAAACCGGACCGAACCGGAAAUGCUCACCCUACCUCAGUCCACACAGACUUGUCAAUACACAAUACAAUAAUACAUGACUUCCAUGUGAGGUAUUUUUAGCUUAUAUACCGUAAAAAAAAAAUCAUCUCAAUUUAAUAGUUUAAUCUGUUAACUGAGGUCUCAAGAUAUGAUUUAUAUUAUUCUCUAACACACACUCCCAAAUGAAAGCCCUUUGAGUUUGAAACUUGCACAGACUCACAUUAACUUGUGUUUAAUUUUUAUCAAAUAAAUGAGGAUGUUGAGAUUCGAACUCGUGAUCGUUUGGUCAUCAAGGUUCUAAUACCAUGUUAAAAAAUCAUUUUAACCUAAAAAUUUAAACUAUUAGAUGAAGUCUUAAGAUAUAAUUUAUAUUAUUCUCUAAUAUAUAUAACUUUUUCAUGAAUGAUUGGCUCUCGCAUAGAAUUAGCAUGUUGAAAAAUCAAAAUUAGCACAAGUUAUUUAUAAUUGUUUCUUAUCGCUGUAAAUAUUGUAGAUUAAAUAUAACUUUUGUAUUUAAUAGAUAAGUGGCUCACUUUAUGUCGCGGCCGAGUUAAUUUUUCUUUAAUAUAAAAAAUGAUUGUGUAUUUUUUCAGUUAACUCAAGAUCAAGUAUUAUUUGUCCAUCAUUAAUCGACUUUAGUGGUCUCAUCAUUUUCCAAUAUCAUACGAUAUAAUAAAAAUAUUAAUUUUAAGUUUGGUAAGAAACCCUCAUUCAAGCAGACAGUCUUUGACAGUUCAUAAUCCAUAGCCCAUGUAUUAAUAAAAUCAUCACAUGAAAUAUGUCUUGUUUGUAGAUAUGUUGAUGAUAAACUUUAUCCUCGAAGUUCUGGUCUGUUGGAGGAAGUUACCAAGAAUAUUCAAGGUAUAUAUAAUGCCUACACCUUUACUCCUUCCUUAAUUAAUUAGAGCAUAUAUAGUAAAUCACCUCUGCAUAUACAUCCUUGUCCAGAAUACAUGAUUCAGAAGCUUGGUAUAGAAGAAACUGAAGCCUCUCAAAUGAAUGGUGUUCUGUACAAGAGUUAUGGCACAUCCAUGGCAGCUCUCAAGGUAUAUAUGGCCUUGUUGUCAUUGAAAAGAAGAAUGAAAUCAUCUUGACAAACCUUUUACCAAAAUCCAAUCGAUUUACUGCUGUUCUGCGAUUUCUUUCCUCUUUCUAGGCCAUUGGUUAUGAUUUUGACAGCGACGACUAUCACAGGUACCAAGUUAAAUAUCCCCACAUAUAGGUUUAGCUUUCUUUUACAUAAAAUGGAUUAUUGCUAUAUAAACGAUCUUACUUACAUUUUCAUGUUUACAGAUUUGUUCAUGGGAGAUUGCCAUUCGAGAGGCUAAAGCCUGACCAUGUUCUAAGAAGUCUUUUGCUUAGGCUGCCUUCUAAUUUAAUACAAGUAGAUAAUCAACUACAAAUUAAGCUUUCUUAGUUCUGAUGAUGAUUUUUUUUUUCUGGGUUUUAUGUAAUAGAUAUUCUCAAAUGCCGAUCAAGCACUUGUGGCUGAAGUUCUCAGCAGUUCAAGCUUUGAGGCCCUAAUAAUCCCUUUAAUUACGAAGACAUCAAUGCUUGUGAUGAAAUUGGAGUUCGACUAUACAUCCAAAAGCCAAAUUAUUGACAUCAUUGAACAUCCUUGUCCGUCUAAUCCUGUUUGAGUACUUCAAAAAACUCCAGUUGUCUGCAAACCUAAUGAAGCAAUAAUUCUUCAUAAAUUGUUAUCGAAAACCUUGAUUUAUGAAUUUUUUUUUUCAAGGCAAAACAAUCCUUAGUGUCAUGCUCCAAUGCAAGCGGAAUAGGUAGCACUUGUUUUGGUAUUUGUGGUAAGGGUCACCUUUCAUAAAUGAUUGUUAAUAGAAGAAUUUCUUUGGAAAGUAGUCAUCAUUUUAAUUCGAGUUGCAUUCAAUAGAAUCUAUAAUAGUUUUGAAUCAGUAGAGUGAUUGUAAGGCUCAAGUUUUGGCCUUAAAGCCUAAAAACCCAAAGCCUAUAAGUUCAGCCAUAGUCCCUAAAUUCAAGUAUAAAUAGUCAGAAAAGAAAAAAAAACAAGAAAUAAUUGUUUAGAAAAACAAAACGUAAGAACACACUACUAACAUCUCUUAAGUUUUCUUUGCUCCGAAUAAUCAAUCAUACCAUUUGGUGGAUUUUAUUUUGGUUUGGGGUUGUUGAGUGUUGAUAACAAGGUAAGAUCAUUUUUAACUUUGUUUUUAAUUUCAUAUUAUGAACAGUAGAAGGCAUACUAGGGCUUGUAGGUUGAAUUGAGGAAUUUGAUGAUUUUUUUAUAAUUAUGAUGGAAUUGAAUAUGGACAUUGGGUUUAGGAUGUUAGAAAUAUGUUUUUGGAUGGUUUAAAAUCAUUAAAUAUUGUUUUGAUGUUGUUGAGUGUGUAGUUGAGUUUGGGCAGAAUCUGAUUGAGACUACAAGUCGAGAAUUCUAGGUUUCUUGAUCAAACGGUCAACUAGUUCAAGUGAACAGGUCGACCAAUUGUUGAAAAUACUUUGCGUCGAUCGUUUGAGGUGUGGGCAGUCGACUUGUUGGAGAAACAGUAGUAGGUUAGGUAUGUUCUGUUCACUCAGUCGAACUGUUGACGAGGUGCGGUCAACAGGUUGGGUUGUGUUCGGUAGGUCUAUUAGUUGUCCUUUUUUGGUGCAGUCUACCGUUUACUCUAUUAAUUGUCGACCGACUUGUUUUGGUUGACCAGUUGGUUCAUACAAGUCGACCAUUUAAGGGGCAAUAUGGUCUUUUUCGGUCUUGUUCAGUUUGUUAUGUAUAUAGGAUUCGAUUUUGAGUAGUUUUUCAAUUUAUAUUUUAUUUCUUCAUAUAGGUUCAGCUAAUACAGCUCUAGUUGAUCCUUAGUGAGUCGAUUUGCAUGGGUUUCGUUGCUUCCUUUUGUUUCUAUCUUUUCGGGUGAGUGAGAUAAUUUCUAUUAUACAUUAUGUAUUGCUAUGAAAUAAUGAGUAUUGUUGUUAUUGUCAAUUAUAUAAGCCUGAUUAGUUAUUAUUAUUAUUUUCUAUUUUUUCUUCUUAAAUACUCAUCAUAUGCUUGUUUGAUUUGAACAUCAUUUAUAUGUCCUUUAUAUUUGUUCAAAUGUGAUCAUGCUUGCAUUAUGAAUCUUGAUGAUAAACUAUGAACCCUAUAUCCAUACUAUUUGUUAAUUUGAGCUCAUGAUUCUUGUUACCCCAUUUAGACCACUGUCAGAAACACUAAAUUAACAUAAGGUAGUUAGUUACUACAUGCUAACAAAGAGUAGUUAGCUUAUGUGCACAUGAUAUUUUUGUUUCUUAGCUGGCGAGUAGGGUGUCAGUACUGUGCGGAUUGGCCUCUCAUUGUUAUGUGUGUGUGUGUGUGUGUUCCCUAGCUGACGAGUAGGAUGUUAGUAAUAUGAUAUGUAAUUCUGACAUGCAUACCUCUUUUGUACAUCAUUUGAUAUGAUAUCUUUGAUAUACUUGUUUUGUUUGGUACUUGAUUUAUGUAACCAUAUUUAUUUAUCUUAAAAUGUAUAUUAGUAUAUAUUAUAGUUAUAACCUCUCAUUAAGUGUUUGGACUUUCCCCUCCAUUCAUAUUUUUCAGGUUUUUAGUUCGGUUUCAAUAGCAGAAUCUUUUGAUUGUGUUCUUCUUGCUUCUUUGAGUCGGUAUGCCUCGUUUGUUCCUCUGUCUAUUAGUUUAUUUUUUAUUUGUUAUUCAUAGAUACUCCAUAGAAUGAUUUUUAAUUAUGUUUUGAAUUCGUUUUGGUUAUUUAUGCAAAAUUCAUAUUUUAAUUUAUUUAUUGAAUUCCUUAAUAUUGGAUAUUUUGUUUUAUGCUACGUUAUUUUAUGGUUUUUAUGAUAACAAAUGUGUAAGUUUUGAGGUUUAAUGCAGGCGGGGCACCUUGAGGUGCUAUGUUUGCUUUGCCGAUCAUAAGUCUAGGAAUCGGGUCGUGACAGUGAUAAUGCAUAAAACUUUUUAGGUGUUUUGAAGAUUUACAUAGCGAGCCCAUAUAGGCGUCAUCACCCCUCAUUUUGAACAAAUAAGGUUAUGUAAAUAGGAUAAUUAUUUCUUCCUUUAUUCAAAUGUAAUUUUUUGUGUUCUAUUUAAUCAUGAUGAUUGUUCUUUAUUAGUCCAAGCGUUAUCAACUCUCAAUCUUGGCAGACUAAUAAAAUAAUUUAACUUAAUUUAACUUAAUUGAGAUUUCAAAGUUAAGAUUAUUAUUAUUAUACUUUAAUAUUGUUACUAAUAUGUCAUCACCAAGGUGAAAGGUAUAUUAGGAUACAAUUUAUUGUGAUAUGAAUAUUUCAAGUAUGAAAGCAUAAUAAUUUAUAAUCAUGGAAGGAGUUAAUACGAUUCUGAACAUAUGAAAACAUUAUUCUUAAAGAUUAUUUUCGAAUUAACUAUAAGAAAUUGGAUCUUUAAGUGGUAAAGAUUCUUAGUUUAUUUUUUUACAGUAAUUAUUAUAUAACUAAGUAGGGUUACAAUAAUCAAUAAUGUUUUUCACAUAAGUUAGGAAAGACUUUAAAAGGAUGAUAUUAUACACACAUACAUACAUGAGGGUCAUAUAGACAUUAUGCAGUAUGAAAUCCUUGAGAAAAAUGAUGUUUUACCCUUAGAAUAAUAGCUCAAAAAUUAGUUGAACAAUAGCAAAAUUGACAAAAUUAGCCAAGAAAUAGGAGAGAUGGAAGCAAAACCAAGAGAAUUAUGUUUUGUGCAUAAUCUUGCUUUUUUUGUAAAAGUUUACGCAACAACUAUUUUCAUACAAAAGAUAAUGAUAGGAAAGACUUUAAAAGGAUGAUGUUAUACACACAUACAUACAUGAGGGUCAUAUAGACAUUAUUCAGUAUGAAAUCCUUGAGAAAAAUGAUGUUUUAGCCUUAGAAUAACAGCUCAAAAAUUAGUUGAACAAUAGCAAAAUUGACAAAAUUAGCCAAGAAAUAGGAGAGAUCGAAGCAAAACCAAGAGAAUUAUGUUUUGUGCAUAAUCUUGCUUUUUUUGUAAAAUUUUACGCAACAACUAUUUUCAUACAAAAGAUAAUGAUUAGUAUUCUUAAAUCUUAUAAAUACUUUUUUAUUAUUAUAUUUUUAGCCUUAAAAAGGGAGAGAAAAAAAUUAAAAAACACUUACAUUAUCACUAUAUCUUUCUUGGAAGCUUCAUUAUUGUACCUCGUAUAAUUUAUUUGCUUAUUGCAUUUAUAUAAUCUUUUAGAUUAUUUAUGGUCAAAUUUUAUAAAUGUGUGAUAACAUCAUAUCAACUAAAAUAGGUUAGGUGACCUUAGGUAGUAUAUAUGAAAUGUCUGGACAAGUUCGAAACCAGUCCUGUAAGACUUGAGUGCCAUAUGUAAAGUUGAUUUCCACCACUAUUAAAGAAGCUAUAUAGAUCUAGUAUGAAAUAGAGCUUGGCUUGAUUUUUAAUUUUGAAGAACUUGGUUUGAGACUUAUCUUCUAAUUUAUCUAAUAAAAUAAGAAAAGUAACUUGGUAUAAAAUACUUUUUCAUUCUUAUAUUAGCAUCCCUAACAAAAGAAUAUAUAUAUUCUCCUUGAAAAAUUCUUAUUAUUUUUUUUAUUUUUGCAUAAGCAUUAAAUUUUUAUGUCUCCAUUAAGGCUUAAUUCUUAGGCAUACAUUUUAUUACUUAAGUCUUUUUAGUUUUUUUUUUUCUGAAGGCCUUUAAAAUAGACCCUAACUAACAUUAGCUCUUCUUUAACUUAUUGGUUAAAUAUAGACAUGUAUAUAAAGGUACUUUCCUUAUUUUAUUAAACAACUAAUAAGUGGGGGGAAUUCUCUUGUUAGGGAUGCUAAUAUAAGAAUAAAAAGGUAUUUUAUACCAAGUUACUUUCCUUAUUUUAUUGGAUAAAUUGGAAGAUAAGUCUCAAACCAAGUUCUUCAAAAUUAGAAAUCGAGCCAAGCUCUAUUGCAUACUAGAUCUAUAUAGCUUCUUUAAUAGUGGUGGAAAUCAACUUUAUAUAUGGCACUCAAGUCUUAGAGGAUUGGUUUCGAACUUGUCCAAACAUUUCAUUUAUACUCCCUAAGGUCACCUAGCCUAUUGUAGUUAUUCAAGUAGGGUUUGUUAGCCAUGUAUUUCAUACAAAGUUUAGUGCCAAACAUAUGUGGAGUUAAAGAUGAAUCAUUUACCUAAUGACUAUUAUAUGGCUAUUUUUAAGUGCUUCAAAGAAAAUUGACUUGACUUCUUUAUUUUUUCAACACCUUUAAUGCUUUUCAACUCAUAUAUGAAAUGAUAUUUUUUUUGGAGUGUUCCUUGUGAUGAUCUUUCCUCGUGCUUUUAUUAUAUAAAGACUUAGUUUCAUCCUUGUUUUGCUUGUGACUGAUGAUAUGGUGAGUGAGUAAGCUUCAUGAUGGCAAGGAACAUUCAUUAUUUGUCUUGAACAACCAAUGGCAAUUUGUCCUUGUUUUUCAUGAACUAUUAUUUUUGCACACCUCUCUUUAAAGUUAUGUUGUUUAUUUAUAUAAUAGGUAUUGUAACCCAAUUUUGGCUCAUUGGCUUUUAAUUUAAUUUUUACAGGGUUUAAAAUGAAAAAUUAAAAGAUCAAAGAUUUAUUUCGAUGAAAAGUGUGAUUUGUCAACUUCCGUGAAAAUUAAAGACUACAAUGUGCUUUUGUCAUUCUAUCUUUAUCUUCAAGAUAAUCCCUAUCUUGAAGAUAAUCCUUAUCUUCGAGAUAAUCCUUGUCUUCAAGAUAAUGAUAGUCAUCCGCUUUCAAAUUGGAUUCUUAAUCAAAUUCAAACUUCAAAGAAGAGAAUGAGUUUGAUUGAAACUUGAUUUCUCACACGCGAAGGGACUCUGACACUAUAAAUACAGAUCUCAGGGUAUGAAAAAGAGAGGACGAUUAGAGAGAAAAACCCUAAAAGAAGAGACCCUGGAGGAGGCCAUUACCAGAAACCGUAAAAGAGAGAAACAUAAACAAAGAAGGGGGCGGCGAACCCUAUACAAGCCGCCGCCCCCCUCAACCCUUUUUUUUUUAGCCCAAUCUCCCUCGACUUCGCCUCCAGCAGCCGCACGCCUAGGUAAGUUUCCUUCCUUCCUUGCUAAAAUAAUUAACUGGUUACUGUUGCAUGCAUGCGUGAACCUUUCACGCAUGGCUCGGCUAGAUCCAGCCCAAAAGGAAAAAAAAAGAGUGGGCCGGGUCUGGGCUUUAGGCCUAACCGACCCAAAUUGUGUUUGCUAAGGGUGUGCUUGGCAAAACACACCCUUAUGCCUUGGCCAUAAUUUUUAUGCCCAUUCUAAUUUGAUAUUUGACCAAACGAACCCCUUUUCGAUAACAGAAAAUUCCAAAGAUAUUUGGGGCCUUCGUUGAUUUAUUUGUGAGCCCCUCACACUUUGUUUUAUUUUAUUUUCUUUGUGUUUGUAUUUUUUUUUAGAUGUGCUCAAUCUGUGGACUAUUACUGUUAAAUGAAAAUAUGUCGUGAAAUGUGUUUUUUUUACUUUCAUCUAAAAAGGGCAAAUAAUAAUAAAGGAUAAACAAGAAAAAAUGACAUAGAAAAUUUCUUCUUCAAAUUCAUUUUUUACGAAAAUAUUCAUUGACGCAAGAGUCAGGAGUAUCGUAUUUUUUGGAUUUGUGUGAUAUUUACCAACGUCAGAGUUGGAAAUAUUUGUAGGAAUUGUUCACUGAUGCCAGAGUCAGGAACAUGAAAGGAAGAAUAAAAAAAGGGAAAAAGAAGAACAAAUUCUUAGCAAUUUUAGACAAAACCAGCAAUGCAUCCUGCCUUAGGAGGAUGCUUAAAGGUUAAUAGCAUCUUUCCUUUUGCGUAACCAGUCCCGUACCAUAGAAUCUCUGUUGACCAGUUAGGGUUCCUAGUGACCAUAAUACUAGGUGGCGACUUCUUGAACAAGACAUUUUCCCCUAAAAGAACAAGAUGCUAGAUAUCCAUUAUUUUUCUAUAUCAAGAUAUUUUUUAAUUGGUCGCCGCGAUUUCCGGGUGUGACAUUAGGCUAGAGGUGGUGGAAGGGCUAUACAACUACUAGUGUAUGGAGAUUUGUUUUAUUUAGUAUUGCACUACUAACAAUUCCGUACUAAGAUUCUAGACAUGUUGGAUGAGGGUGUUAUUGUUUGGCGAACUAGUGGUUAGAACUCAUCGUGCUAGUAACAAACCCAACUCGUAAAGUAUCUAUAAUUUUAUAAAGUGUUCUUUGCUUUUCAUACAUGUCAAAGGAGUUUAGAGAUCUUUUUAGAUAAGAAAAACUAUCUCUUAGAAGUAGUUUCUAAUAAACAACGUUACUAAUGAAAUAAAAAAAAUCUUAUUUCCUAAGUCACCUUUGUUCUGGUUGAGUUAGAAAAUCCUUACAAAAUGAAGAAAUCCCCUCUAUAAACAUGGGAUUGUUUGAUGCUUAAGUUAAUAAAUAAAAGAAGUAUAGAGAAUUUAGAAAUAGAAGAGACUUUUAUUUUGUAAGCAAGAGAAAAUGAGAGAUAGGAGAGAGAUUUAUACCUUACGGUUAUAUAUAUAGCCUUCAGCUAAUGUGACUUAAUAUCCUUCUUAAAAGACAGUUCAAUCUUUUAAUGUCUCAUGAUAUGCAUUGGAUUUUGUAAAGUUGCUCAUUAAAGGAUGUGAGUUAUGUCUUUUUUUAUACAUGUAAAAUGAUGGAUUGUGAAAAAAAUGGUAUGCUCAAUAUCGAAAUUUUUAUUGAAUUUUUGUAUAUCUUACUUUAAUUAUAUAUAUUUAAGUUUUUCAUCUUCCAUUUUAUUUUUAAUAGGAUAUCCUCCUUGUUUUUUGUUAGUUAUGUAAUGAUGUGGCCAUUAUCAUGUGCUAAGUGGCAAAAAAGUUGUUAUGGAGUGGAAAAAAAGAACAUAGCAUAUUUUGUACCUAAGUCUUGAGAAAUUUAAAUAGAUAAAAUUAAAAGUGAAAUAACUAAAUAAAAAUAAAUGAUAUAAGAUUAGAUGCUAAGUAUUUUGUUUCUUUGAUUGUUGUCCACUCAUGAGGGUUUUUUCACUGUAAAAUAAGGGAGAAAUAUAUUGCCCUUAUAUGAGUUAAUUUGUAAGUCGCAUGCCUACUAAAUUUCACAUCAUGUAGUUUAAGCUUUUAAUAAAUUAUAGUGUUGCAUCAUUUUCUGUAAUUACAAUCGACUUUCAUUAAAAAAAGAAAGUUGCAUGAUGAAGAUGGCAUCUUAAUGCAUGUUUGGCAAUGACAUAUCAUGUAAUUGAAUGAAUCCUAGAUUAUUUAUGACUAAAAACCAGGAGGAAAUUAAUUAGUCAACAUCCUAAUACAAGAGGAAAAGGAGAACAGUAGAAAAUUAUGGAGUUUAGAUUACUUAAAACUAGGCUUAUAAUUAUAAUAUCACCAUAUAACUUGUACUUUUUUUGUGAAUCAAGUGAAGGUUGGUCAUUUUCUACUAAUCAUGGUGUCGAGCUUCGUUGUGGAGUUAAUUAUAACAUAAAGAAAACAAAAAUGUAGUCAUUGUUAAAGUUUUUUUAAAAAUAACUAAGCAAGAAUUCAACACAUAAAUUGAAAAUUUAAUAUGUGUGUUUAACAAAAUUAACCACUAAUCAUAUGCACCAAUAAAUUCUAAAAUGAGUUAUUAACAAUAACCAAAAACUAAAUCAAGAAGUUAGGGAUAAAUGUAAAUAAAGAAACAUGAUAUUAUGUCGCGAUAUACUAUUUAAUUUCUUUAUUUAAUUACAUAUCAAUAUUUUUUAGAAAAAGUUAAAACUAAAUUUAAUUAAAAUAAAAUAAUUUGCUAUCAUAGUUUCUCUUUUUUCUUAUUAAUUUGACUUCACCCUAUGAUGUCUGCAAACCUAAUGAAGCAAUAAUUCUUCAUAAAUUGUAAUAUAAAACCUUGAUUUAUGAACCUUUUUUUUCAAGGUAAAACAAUCCUUAGUGUCAUGCUCCAAUGCAAGCGGAAUAAGUAGCCCUUGUUUUGGUACUUGUGGUAAGGGUCACCUUUCAUAAAUGAUUGUUAAUAGAAGAAUUUUCUUUGGAAAGUAGUCAUCAUUUUAAUUCGAGUUGCAUUCAAUAGAAUCUAUAAUAGUUUUGAAUCAGUAGGGUGAUUAUAAGGCCCAAGUUUUGGCCUUAUAGCCUAAAGAAUCCAAAGCCUAUAAGUUCAGCCAUAGUCCCUAAACUCAAGUAUAAAUAGGGGUUUUCUUAGUCAGAAAAGAAAAAAAUACAAAAAAUAAUUGUUCAAAAAACAAAACAUAAGAACACACUACUAAUAACUCUUAAGUUUCCUCUACUCCGAAUAAUUAAUCAUUCCCUUUGGUGGAUUUUAUUUUGGUUUGGGGUUGUUGAGUGUUGAUAACAAGGUAAGAUCAUUUUAAACUUUGUCUUUAAUUUCAUAUUAUGAACAGUAGAAGGCAUACUAGGGCUUGUAGGUUGAAUUGAGGAAUUUGAUGAUUUUUUCAUAAUUAUGAUGGAAUUGAAUAUGGAUAUUGGGUUUAGGAUGUUGGAAAUAUGUUUUUGGAUGGUUAAAAUCAUUAAAUAUUGUUUUGAUGUUGUUGAGCGUAUAGUUGAGUUUUGGCAGAAUCUGAUUGAGACUGCAAGCCGAGAAUUCUAGGUUUCUCGAUCAAACGGUCAACUAGUUCAAGUGAACAAGUCGACCAAUUAUUGAACAUACUUUGCGUCGAUUGUUUGAGGUGUGGGCAGUCGACCGGUUAGAGAAACAGUAGUAGGUUAGGUAUGUUCUGUUCACUCGGUCAAACUGUUGAGGAGGUGCAGUCAACCGGUUGGGUUGUGUUCGGUAGGUCUAUUAGUUGUUCUUUUUUGGUGCAGUCUACCGUUUACUCUAUUAACUGCCGACCGACUUGUUUUGGUUGACCAGUUAGUUCAUACCAGUCAACCAUUUAAGGAGCAAUAGGGUCUUUUUCGGUCUUGUUCAUUUUGUUUUGUAUAUAUGAUUUAGUUUUGAGUAGUUUUUGAAUGUAUAUUUUAUUUCUUCAUAUAGGUUCAGCUGAUACAGCUCUAGUUGAUCCUUAGUGAGUCGAUUUGCUUAGGUUUCAUUUGCUUCCUUUUGUUUCUGUCUUUCCGGGUGAGUGGGAUAAUUUUAACUAUAUAUAUAUUGGUAUGAAAUGAUGAGUAUUUUAUUGUUAUUAUUAUUCUAGUUUUCUUCUUAAAUACUCAUCAUAUACUUGUUUGAUUUGAACAUGGUUUAUAUAUCCUUUAUAUUUGUUCAAAUGUAAUCAUACUUGCAUUAUGAAUCUUGAUAAUAAACCAUGAACCUUAUAUCCAUACUAUUUGUUCAUUUGAGUUCAUGAUUCUUGUUACCCCAUUUAAACCGCUGUCAGAAACACCAAAUUAACAUAAGGUAGUUAGUUACUUCAUGCUAACAAAUAGUAGUUAGCCUAUAUGUACAUGAUAUUUUGUUUCUUAGCUGGCGAGUAGGGUGUUAGUACUGUGCAGAUUGGCCUCCUAUAAUUAUGUGUGUGUGUGUGUGUGUGUGUGUGUGUGUGUUCCCUAGCUGAUGAGUAAGAUGUCAGUAAUAUGAUAUGUAAUUCUCACAUGCAUACCUCUUUUGUACACCAUUUAAUAUGAUACCUUUGAUAUACUUGUUUCGUUUGGUACUUGAUUUAUGUAACCAUAUUUAUUUAUCUUAAAAUGUAUAUUAGUAUGUAUUAUAGUUAUAACCUCUCACUAAGUGUUUGGACUUUACCCUUCAUUCAUAUUUUUCAGGUCCUUAGUUUGGUUUCAAUAGCAAAAUCUUUUGAUUGUGUUCUUCCUGCUUCUUUAAGUCGGUAUGCCUCGUUUUUUCCUCUAGAGUAUUAGUUUAUUCUUUAUUUGUUAUUCAUAGAUACUCCAUAGAACGAUUUUUAAUUAUGUUUUUAUCAACUCUCAACCUUGGUAGACUAAUAAAAUAAUUUAAUUUAAUUUAAUUGAGAUUUUAAAGUUAAGAUUAUUAUUAUUAUUAUACUUUUAUAUUGUUAGUAAUAUGUCUUCAUCAAGGUGAAAGGUAUAUUAGGAUACAAUUUGUUGUGAUAUGAAUAUUUCAAGUAUGAAAGCAUAAUAAUGUAUAAUCAUGGAAGGAGAUAAUAUGAUUCUGAACAUAUGAAAACAUUAUUCUUAAAGAUUAUUUUCAAAUUAACUUUAAGAGAUUGGAUCUUUAAGUGGUAAAGAUUCUUAGUUUAAUGUUUUAUAGUAAAUUAUGAUAUAACUAAGUAGGGUUACAAUAAUCAAUAAUGUUUUUUACACAAGUUAGAAAAGACUUUAAAAGGAUGAUGUUAUACACACACACACACACGUACAUGAGGGUCAUAUAGACAUUAUUCAGUAUGAAAUCCUUGAGAAAAAUGAUGUUUUAGCCUUAGAAUAACAACUCAAAAAGUAGUUGAACAAUAGCAAAAUUGACAAAAUUAGCCAAGAAAUAGGAGAGAUGGAAGCAAAACCAAGAGAAUUAUGUUUUGUGCAUAAUCUUAUUUUUUUUGUAAAAGUUUACGCAACAACUAUUUUCAUACAAAAGAUAAUGAUUAGUAUUUUUAAAUUCGUAUAAAUACUUUUUAUUUUUAUAUUUUGAGCCUUAAAAAUGGAGAGAAAAAAGUAAAAAAAUAAACACUUACAUUAUCACUACAUCUUUCUUGGAAGCUUCAUUAUUGUACCUAGUACAAUUGAUUUGCUCAUUACAUUUAUAUAAUCUUUUAGACUUUAUUUGUUCAAACUUUAUACAUGUGUGAGUAACAUCAUAUCAACUAUAUGGAUAUAUUUAUAUUGAAGCUCGUAACAACUUGUUCCUCAUACAUACAAGCAUUAUAUAUAUAUAUAUAUAUAUAUAUAUAUAUAUAUAUAUAUAUAUAUUCACUUUUGUUGCACGUGUGCGGCGUCGCGGCAAAAACAUCUACCCUCAAAAUAUUAUCUUAAAUCUAUUGAUCUGGAAAAUAUGUGGAGACAGGGAAUUCUUGUCUUUUAUUAGUGGAAAAAUAAAAUGGGAGUCACCACCUAGUAUUUUGGUUACUAGGAACCCUAACUGGUCUCAGAGAUCGGGUACGGGGACUGGUUGCGUAAAGGGAAAGUAUUAGCACUCCAAAUACGCUCUAUCUAAGGUAAGCUGCAUUGUUUUAUUGUCUGAUAAAAUUUAAAGUCUUGUUGUGUUUUCUAAUUGUUAGUCCGUCUAUGGUUUAAGAAAAGUUCUCUUCGGUAAAGAAAUACUUAUCUUAUUGGGUAAAACAUAACUGUUCUAACGUCAACAAAUAUUUUAAUAUCCGGAAUACGUCUUACGUAUAAGGUCAUAACCCCAGAUAUUAAAAGAAAACAAAAUUAUUUUUUUGAAACUUUUGAAAUAUUGGUCAGUUCUCGUGACUUUCAUAAACUGGUUAUUAAAGCCAAAUUGCAUGCUAAAACUUUUUUUUUCUAUAAAGAUACAAUAUGAUUUUUUUUUAUUAUAUAUUUUUUUAGAGAGAUUUGGUCGUAUGCAUGAAAACAAAACAUUUUUUUUAUGUUUUGACAAAAAUCAGGUAUUUUAAUACCGGAUUUGUAUCUUUACAGUAUAAAAAUACAAACCAAUAUUGAUCAAAAUGCAGUAAAAUAUUUGCGGAAAAUCACAAAUGUUUUUAAAAUAAUUUUUUAAGAAAAUUUUCUUUUUUUCUUUUUUUUUGGGGCUGGGCUGGACUUAGCCAGCCCAGCCUGGUCACUGGCCCAUGCCAGUGACCAAGCCUCAGCCAUCCAUGCACACGUAAUAUUUUACGCGUGCAUGAACAAAGCGAAGGUAAUUAAAUUCCCUUCGCACUGUUCAUCCUCCUUCUUAGCAAGAAUGAACAAAACAGAGCGCUGCAACUGACGAUUUCAGGUAUUGGCUUCUUUACGUCUGUUUGUGUUUUUUUUUUUUUUUUACAUACUAACAUGCAUCAUUUAUAUUGCAGGGACUGAGAAGGAAAGUGAACAUACCUGGUUUUGGAGUGGCGAAGACGAUGGUGGUGUUAUGUUCUCUGCUUCACCGUGUCCUUUGCUUCCGUUCAGUUUGCUUCUAUUUCUCCUUCCUCUUCUCUUCUUAUGCUUUCUCACUAUUUCUCCACUCUCUCAGUUUUUUUUUCACGCUCUCCUACGAUGUCUCCCUCAUGUUUUUCUCUGCCUUCUCUCUCUUGUCCCCCCUCUGUGUUCGGUUCUUCCUUUAGCUUUUAUAGCCAGAGGACGCAAGCGUUAUUUUGGUAACAGUCGCGUGCAUCACGGUGGCGAGGAACAUCAGUCGCGAGACGCGCCUCCUGAUUGAAAACGAUUCCCCUAUCACUGCCAACGUCUCCUGCCUUUAAUGCCACAGCUGUUAUGUUUAAGAAGACAGUGAAUAUUGCUUCAAUGGAAUGGCGCUGUUUGGAUUUCUUCUGAAUAUGGGUAACAAUAACUUUGACAAAUUCUUAUUAUUUUUUUUAUUUCUCCAUAAGCAUUUUAAUUUUUAUACGUCUCCAUUGAGGCAUAAUUAUUAGGCAUACAUUUUAUUACUUAAAUCUUUUUAGUUUUUUUUUUUUAAGGCCUUUAAAAUAGACCCUAACUAACACUAGCUCUUCUUUAACUUUAAAAUUUCUUAAUUAAAUAUACACAUGUAUACAAAAGUACUUUCUUUAUUUUAUUAGACAACCAAUAAGUGGGUGGAAUUCUCUUGUUAGGGAUGCUAAUAUAAGAAUGAAAAAGUAUUUUCUACCAAGUUACUUUCCUUAUUUUAUUAGAUAAAUUGAAAGAUAAGUCUCAAACCAAGUUCUUCAAAAUUAAAAAUCAAGCCAAGCUCUAUUGUAUACUAGAUCUAUAUAGCAUCUUUAAUAGUGGUGAGAAUCAACUUUACAUAUGGCACUUAAGUCUUAGAGGACUAGUUUCGAACUUGUCCGGACAUUCCAUAUAUACUCCCUAGGAUCACCUAGCCUAUUGUAGUUAUUCAUGUAGGGUUUGUUAGCCAUGUAUUUCAUAUAAAGUUUAGUGUCCAACAUAUGUGGAGCUAAAAAUGAAUCCUUUACCUAAUGACUAUUAUAUAGCUAUUUUCAAGUGGUUCAAAGAAAAUUGACUUGACUUCUUCUUCUUUUUG